Molecule: non-coding RNA, 95 nt
Organism: Acanthosepion pharaonis
Lineage: Eukaryota; Metazoa; Mollusca; Cephalopoda; Sepiida; Sepiidae
Source: the annotation of a GenBank genome assembly
CAAAUACCGGUUCCCAUAGGAUCACUGAAGUUAAGCAACGUUGAGACAGGUCGGUACCCAGAUGGGUGACCGCUUGGUAAUACCAGGUGCUGUAG